AUUCCUACUUUUCAACAUUAUUUGGUUUCACUUUGAGAAACUCCGCCAAAAAUCACCAGCCCAAAAUCUUGUCCAUUAUAUAUACUAACCAAAAUCAUAAUUUUCUAGGUUACUCAGAAAUAACUGAAAAAGAGUUGCUCAAUAAGAAGAAGACUACUUGGUAGAGCAUUCACCUUGACUUUUCCCAUAGAGGUUAGUAGCUAGCUAGCUUCUAUAAUUUUGGAUCAUAUUUUCAACAUACAACAAAGACAUGGAAAGUGCCUUGUAAUGAAAACCUUGUUCUAGAGUUUUUUUGUAUCUGAAAUCUAGAAUAGAUUGACAUGAAAAUGGGACAGACUUUACUGAGUCAUGCUCUAAUUUCAAUCCUUCCAGAUAAAAAUAACACAACUAUGGUUUGAUAGAGAAAAAAAAUGAUGAAACUUUGUCCCUCUUCUCUUCUCCAAUAAUGCAUCAGAUCAGAUCAGGUCAGAUGUCCCCAUCCUUCGGCCGCCAUUUUCACACUGUCCAAGCUUUUUGGCUGUACAGGAGAUCACUGCAUGCUUCUCAUCUGCAGGAUGACAACAACCCAUUUCAAUGAUUGUUUCCAAAACUGAACUAAGGUCAUCAUAUCACACAGCUUGCUCUAUCUAGCUCAUAUAAGAAGGCUCAACAAUGGUUGGUGCAAAAUCCUUUGUUUCUUGCUGUUUGCAUUUAUUGUUGCAGAUUGUUCUGUCUCCAAAACUUCCCCCUUUGCUUCUGUGACCGUCAAAUGUUUUGUUAUACAGGAUUUUCCAGCUGGCUAACUAAGCCUGCAAGUCACCAAUUGUUAUAUAUACUAACCAAAAUCAUAAUUUUCUAGGUUACUCAGAAAUAACUGAAAAAGAGUUGCUCAAUAAGAAGAAGACUACUUGGUAGAGCAUUCACCUUGACUUUUCCCAUAGAGGUUAGUAGCUAGCUAGCUUCUAUAAUUUUGGAUCAUAUUUUCAACAUACAACAAAGACAUGGAAAGUGCCUUGUAAUGAAAACCUUGUUCUAGAGUUUUUUUGUAUCUGAAAUCUAGAAUAGAUUGACAUGAAAAUGGGACAGACUUUACUGAGUCAUGCUCUAAUUUCAAUCCUUCCGGAUAAAAACAACACAACUAUGGUUUAAUAGAGAAAAAGGAUGGAACUUUGUCCCUCUUCUCUUCUCCAAUAAUGCAUCAGAUCAGAUCAGGUCAGAUGUCCCCAUCCUUCGGCCGCCAUUUUCACACUGUCCAAGCUUUUUGGCUGUACAGGAGAUCACUGCAUGCUUCUCAUCUGCAGGAUGACAACAACCCAUUUCAAUGAUUGUUUCCAAAACUGAACUAAGGUCAUCAUAUCACACAGCUUGCUCUAUCUAGCUCAUAUAAGAAGGCUUUUUGUAUAAACACUUAAAAUGGAACAAACAAAUUUUGAACUUGGAUUGGAACUCAAUUGGUACUCAUCAAGGAAGAAACAAGGGAACACAUUUACAUCCUGCAAGUUCUUUCAGUCGGAUCUUUCCCUCUCUGUACUUUGGACUACUUACAGGACAAAUUAAACUGGGUUGGAGGGAAAAAAUG
This 1558-nucleotide long non-coding RNA is filed under the name Linum usitatissimum (flax). RNAcentral describes it as "long non-coding RNA (LUSI_LNC002524)". Lineage: Eukaryota; Viridiplantae; Streptophyta; Magnoliopsida; Malpighiales; Linaceae. The record is from RNAcentral.